Molecule: ribosomal RNA, 569 nt
Filed under: uncultured bacterium
Lineage: Bacteria
Description: partial 16S ribosomal RNA
Rfam family: Bacterial small subunit ribosomal RNA
Source: RNAcentral
UGGGGAAUUUUGGACAAUGGGCGAAAGCCUGAUCCAGCAAUGCCGCGUGUGUGAAGAAGGCCUUCGGGUUGUAAAGCACUUUUGUCCGGAAAGAAAUCCUUGGCUCUAAUACAGUCGGGGGAUGACGGUACCGGAAGAAUAAGCACCGGCUAACUACGUGCCAGCAGCCGCGGUAAUACGUAGGGUGCAAGCGUUAAUCGGAAUUACUGGGCGUAAAGCGUGCGCAGGCGGUUUGCUAAGACCGAUGUGAAAUCCCCGGGCUCAACCUGGGAACUGCAUUGGUGACUGGCAGGCUAGAGUAUGGCAGAGGGGGGUAGAAUUCCGACGUGUAGCAGUGAAAUGCGUAGAGAUGUGGAGGAAUACCGAUGGCGAAGGCAGCCCCCUGGGCCAAUACUGACGCUCAUGCACGAAAAGCGUGGGGAGCAAACAGGAUUAGGAUACCCUGGUAGUCCACGCCCUAAACGAUGUCAACUAGUUGUUGGGGAUUCAUUUCCUUAGUAACGUAGCUAACGCGUGAAGUUGACCGCCUGGGGAGUACGGUCGCAAGAUUAAAACUUAAAUGAAUUGAC